Molecule: transfer RNA, 62 nt
Filed under: Bovicola ovis (sheep biting louse)
Lineage: Eukaryota; Metazoa; Arthropoda; Insecta; Psocodea; Bovicoliidae
Description: tRNA-Ala
Source: RNAcentral
AGGGCCUAAGUUUUAUAAUUCUACCCUUGCACGGUAGAGAAGUCCCUUUGGGACAGGUCUUA